UGCGGAAGGAUCAUUACCGAAUUGUCAACAAGAGUUGUUGCUGGUUCCUGUAUGGGGGCACGUGCACGCUCUGUUUACACAUCCACUCACACCUGUGCACCCUCUGUAGUUCUAUGGCCUGGGUGGGCUCUGUUCCCCCUGCUGUGGUUCUACGUCUUUACACACACUACAACAAAGUCUCAAGGAAUGUGCAUCGCGUUUAACGCAAUGAAAUACAACUUUCAGCAACGGAUCUCUUGGCUCUCGCAUCGAUGAAGAACGCAGCGAAAUGCGAUAAGUAAUGUGAAUUGCAGAAUUCAGUGAAUCAUCGAAUCUUUGAACGCACCUUGCGCCCUUUGGCUAUUCCGAAGGGCAUGCCUGUUUGAGUAUCAUGAACAUCUCAACUCUCAUGGCUUGCCAUGAUGAGCUUGGACUUUGGGGGUCUUGUUGGCCUGUGAGCCAGCUCCUCUUAAAUAAAUUAGCUUGCCGGUGUUUGGUGGCGUCACAGGUGUGAUAACUAUCUACGCUUGUGGUUUCCCACCAGGUAACCUUCAGCAAUGGAGGUUCACUGGAGCUUAUAGAUGUCUCUCCUUUGCGAAGACACGUUUUGACCAUUUGAUCUCAAAUCAGGUAGGACUACCCGCUGAACUUAAGCAUAUCAAUAAGCGGAGGAAAAGAAACUAACAAGGAUUCCCCUAGUAACUGCGAGUGAAGCGGGAAGAGCUCAAAUUUAAAAUCUGGCUGCCUCUGGCCGUCC
This 736-nucleotide ribosomal RNA is filed under the name uncultured fungus. RNAcentral's name for it is "eukaryotic LSU rRNA". The stretch from base 217 to 371 matches the Rfam family "5.8S ribosomal RNA". Lineage: Eukaryota; Fungi. The record is from RNAcentral.